CAAUAGCGUAUAUUAAAGUUGUUGCGGUUAAAAAGCUCGUAGUUGGAUUUCUGUCUAGGGUGGCCGGUGCCCACUAUGUGAAGCAUCUGGUUCAGUCUGGGCAUCCUCUUGGGGAUCGUUUCCGUGCUUGAUUGCAUGGGGCGGAAUUCAAGACUUUUACUUUGAGGAAAUUAGAGUGUUCACGGCAAGCUUUCGCUUUGAAUACAUUAGCAUGGAAUAAUAAUCUAGGACUUCGGUUCUAUUUUGUUGGUUUCUAGUACUGAAGUAAUGAUUGAUAGGGAUAGUUGGGGGUGCUAGUAUUGGCCGGCCAGAGGUGAAAUUCUUGGAUUCGGUCAAGACUAACUUAUGCGAAAGCAUUCACCAAGGAUGUCUUCUUUAAUCAAGAACGAAGUUGGGGGAUCGAAGACGAUCAGAUACCA
This 419-nucleotide ribosomal RNA is filed under the name uncultured eukaryote. Its description in RNAcentral is "bacterial SSU rRNA". It matches the Rfam family "Eukaryotic small subunit ribosomal RNA", at positions 592 to 1017 of the family's 1831-position model. The record is from RNAcentral.